CUGGCUCUGAGAAGGAAACAGGAAGUGGCAGAUGGAAGGGUGGUUUUUCUUCCCAGGGUCUCCCCAAGAGCUGCUUCCUUUGACUCCUGCUGUGUGUAGUUCUGCUGACAAUGACCUGGACAGCUCUGCGCCAUGCACAGCGUCUCUUUUCUCCGACUUACCAAAUUUUAGACACUACUGACUCCUCCAUGUGAAAGAUGGGAAUUCAGCUACAUCACAUUACCCUACAAACUUUAUUGUUAAUGUAAUUAUUUUUAUUUCUUCUACUGCUUUUUUGGUAACUUUAUUUAUUUAUUUAUUUAUUAUUUAUUUUCGAGAUGCAAUUUCGCUCUUAUUGCCCAGGCUGGAGUGCAGCGGCACAGUCUCGGCUCACUGCAACCUCUGCCUUCUGGGUUCAAGUGAUUUUCUUGCCUCAGCCUCCCGAGUAGCUGGGAUUACAGGUGCCCACCACUACGCCCAGCUAAUUUUCUAUUUUUAGUAGAGACGGAGUUUCACUAUGUUGGUUGGGCUGGUCUCGAACUCCUGACCUCAGGUGAUCUGCCCACCUCAGCCUCCCAAAGUGCUGGGAUUACAGGUGUGAGCCACCAUGCCCAGACUUUUUUUUUUUUUUUUUUUUUGAGACAGUUUCUCUCUGUUGCCUAUGCUGGAGUGCGGUGGCGUGAUCUCAGCUAACUGCAACCUCUGCCUCCCGGGUUCAAGUGACUCUCCUGCCUCAGCCUCCCAAGUAGCUAGGCCUACAGGCGCGCACCACUACACCCAGCUAAUUUUUGUAUUUUUAGUAAAGAUGGGGUUUCACCACGUUGGCCAGGCUGGUCUGGAACUCCCGACCUCAGGUGAUCGCCCACCUCAGCCUCCCAAAGUGCUGGGAUUACAGGCUUGAACCACUGCGCCCGGCAUAUGUUUUAAUUUAAUUUUUAAAGACAGGGUCUUGCUCUGUCACCCAGGAUGGAGUGCAGUGGUGUGGACACAGCUCACUGCAGCCUCGAACUCCGGGGCCCAAUCGAUCCUCCCACCUAGUCCUCCUGUGUGACUGGGACUACAGGCGUACACCACGCUGCCAGCUACUUUUUGUAUUUUUGCAGAGCGGGGUUUCACCGUGUUGCUCAGGCUGGUCUUGAAUUCCUGAGCUUAAGUGAUCUGACUGCCUCAGCCUCCCAGAUUGCUGGGAUUACAGGCAUGAGCCACUGCUCCCGGCCCUUGGUAACUUUAAAUAAUAUUCUUUCUGCUAUUAGGGAAACAAGAGCCUAGGAGAGCCAGGGUCACAACAUCUUAAAACAAACUUCAUCUUAAAACUAGUAAAGGACAUUCCUUGCCAGUCACAUAGUACUGAGAUAUUUACAAAUGAGAAAACAGCUUAAAAAUACCUGCAAGGACACACUCCCACAACGAUGAAAAGUCCAGAUGUUCUGAUAGACACAAUAAUAUAUGCUUUCAAGAUAAUUCUACUUAUGCUGUUUGUACCUGCAUACUAAAAUGUCAAGGAUAGUUUUCUUUAAAUCAACCGAAUAAUAAAUUCUGUCAUGCUAUCAGCCCACCCGCGCACGUGGGCACAGCUUAGUUUAGUCUUUAUACAGAUAAGACCCCCAUAUAAAAAAAACUUAAAGCGGGCGCAUUUUCUCUGCUUUCUGAGGUCGUCUCGCUCUGUAACUGAGUGGCUUUCAAUAAUGAGCUUUUAGGCCAAGUGCAGUCGCUCACGCCUAUAAUCCCAGCACUUUGGGAGGCCGAGGCAGGCGGAUCACCAGAGGUCAGGAGUUCGAGACCAGCCUGGCUAACGUGCUAAAAUCCCAUCUUUACUAAAAAUGCGAAAAUUAGCCAGGCGUGGUGGUGGGGGCCUGUAAUCCCAGCUACUCGGGAGGCUGAGACAGGAGAAUUGCUUGAAACCGGGAGGCAGAGCUUGCAGUGAGCUGAGAUGGUGACAUUGUACUCCAGCCUGGGCAACAGAGUGAGACUCCGUCUCAAAAAAAAAAAGAAUAUGUUUACUUUCACACUCACCUCUGACCUCCUCUUGGGAAGACGAGGUUACCGGUGCCUUCCCUUCUCUUCCACUUUCAGAUUUCUUCCCGGUCAGCCCCAAACACUGAAUGUAAAUACGGUCCAACAUCAACCUGCAAACGAACACUGACAUGAAAGUGCAGUUGGAAAGGAUCUCGCAAAGGAACAGAAUCUGGUGAUCCUAAUCGUAAUGAACGUGAUCGCCGGGUAUUGAGAGCUUGCAGGUACCAGGGCUCCGGCACUACGUGUUUCACAGGGGCCACUCGGUAGACCUCUUGGUGACCUUGAGGUCAGGUACCACGUUCCCAUUUUACAGAGGAGGAAACUGAGAUAACCUACGACAGCGAAAAGGUAGCAGAGCUGGGACUGGUGCCCAGGCUCGCCGAGUGGAAAAGCCCUCGGCCACCGUGGAGAGCUCGCUUCCUGUGGUCUGAAGCGUCGCCCCUGCACCGGCUUCUGCUGCCAAGGAUGGCUUUUCCUCACUGGUGCCCACCUACGCUCACUUGUGUCAUGUGGUUAAGCCCUUUUGGCAACAUAAGACCUUUCCCAAGAAUGUGCCUCGGUGCAGAGGAAGACGGUGGGGGCAGGCCCCCUCCCCGGGAUGCUCCACCCUCCCUGACCUCACACGGGUGCAACCUGGGCCGUGGCCGAGACCUGCUGUGUGGCAGACAAUGGGAAGCCUGUGUGUCGUCCUGGGUGCCGGAUUUAGACAAUAUUUAGCUUUCCCUUGGUGGAAAAGCCUUUCCCCUCCUGCUUUGGGCAGGAACUGGUUCCUGUUGGGCGGGGCCUGGCUGCUGCCCCACCCCCACCCGGCCGGGCACCUUGACCGGCAGCUCUCCGGGCUGCUCCCUGCCUGUGUCCCUGAGCACUGACUCCAGAGGUUUAAUCAUUAACGGGCACGUUUGGCCUUCGGUCGUGGGCUGGAAUUUGGGACCUGUGCCCGGGAACAAUGAUCUCCGACACAUUAUUUUGUGUAAAAUCACUUUUAGCUGCCAUUAGCUAAUAAAGCUGGAAUAAAGUGAGGUCCAU
RNAcentral lists this long non-coding RNA (3021 nucleotides) under Homo sapiens (human). RNAcentral describes it as "HSALNT0379506". Lineage: Eukaryota; Metazoa; Chordata; Mammalia; Primates; Hominidae. The record is from RNAcentral.